RNAcentral lists this ribosomal RNA (415 nucleotides) under uncultured bacterium. RNAcentral describes it as "bacterial SSU rRNA". It matches the Rfam family "Bacterial small subunit ribosomal RNA", at positions 355 to 767 of the family's 1533-position model. The record is from RNAcentral.
UGAGGAAUAUUGGUCAAUGGGCGGAAGCCUGAACCAGCCAUGCCGCGUGCAGGAAGGAGGCCCUACGGGUUGUAAACUGCUUUUACCCGGGAAGAAACCGCCCCCUGUGGGGGGCGUUGCCGGUACCGGGGGAAAAAGGAUCGGCUAACUCCGUGCCAGCAGCCGCGGUAAUACGGAGGAUCCGGGCGUUAUCCGGAAUUACUGGGUUUAAAGGGUGCGUAGGCGGGGCUUUAAGCCGGCGGUGAAAUGCAGCGGCUCAACCGCUGGAAUGCCGUUGGGACUGGGGCUCUUGGAUACGGUCGGGGCGGGUGGAACUCGUGGUGUAGCGGUGAAAUGCAUAGAUAUCACGAGGAACGCCGGUAGCGAAGGCAGCUCGCCGGGCCGGUAUUGACGCUGAGGCACGAAAGCGUGGGGA